This 497-nucleotide ribosomal RNA is filed under the name uncultured bacterium. Its description in RNAcentral is "bacterial SSU rRNA". It matches the Rfam family "Bacterial small subunit ribosomal RNA", at positions 343 to 832 of the family's 1533-position model. The record is from RNAcentral.
GGGAGGCAGCAGUAGGGAAUUUUUCACAAUGGGCGCAAGCCUUAUGAAGCAAUGCCGCGUGAACGAUGAAGGUCUUAUAGAUUGUAAAGUUCUUUUAUAUGGGAAGAAACGCUAAAAUAGGAAAUGAUUUUAGUUUGACUGUACCAUUUGAAUAAGUAUCGGCUAACUAUGUGCCAGCAGCCGCGGUAAUACAUAGGAUGCAAGCGUUAUCCGGAUUUACUGGGCGUAAAACGAGCGCAGGCGGGUUUGUAAGUUUGGUAUUAAAUCUAGAUGCUUAACGUCUAGCUGUAUCAAAAACUGUAAACCUAGAGUGUAGUAGGGAGUUGGGGAACUCCAUGUGGAGCGGUAAAAUGCGUAGAUAUAUGGAAGAACACCGGUGGCGAAGGCGCCAACUUGGACUAUCACUGACGCUUAGGCUCGAAAGUGUGGGGAGCAAAUAGGAUUAGAUACCCUAGUAGUCCACACCGUAAACGAUCAUCAUUAAAUGUCGGCCGAAU